GUAGUGAACUGGACAUUCGUGCCACCCUUCCGUACCUCGAGGCCUCUUUGCUUUUCGCUAGACCAGACAGCUAAGGGAAUAAUAUCAUAACCCAUAACAUGGAACAUAAACUUAAAUAAAAAAUAAUAUGUUUGUAUAUAUAUAACUGUAUUACAAAAUAUAAUGAAAAAAAAUA
This is a non-coding RNA of Drosophila suzukii, 175 nucleotides long. The record is from RefSeq and is a predicted model, not a curated record. Lineage: Eukaryota; Metazoa; Arthropoda; Insecta; Diptera; Drosophilidae.